UUAAAAAUGUAAACGGGAAUUUUAAAUUAUUAGUAGUUAUAUCUUGAAAGUUAAAGAAUUUGGCGGUAUUUUAGUCUUUUCAGAGGAACCUGUUUCAUAAAUGAUAAUCCACGAUUAAUUAAACUUAUAUUUUUAAUUUGUAUAUCGUCGUAGUUUGAAUAUUUUUGUAGAAUUUCAAUGUUCAAUAAAUUAGAUUAAAUUAUAAAUCAGAUCAAGGUGCAGUUUAUAUAUAAGUGAUGAUGGGUUACAAUAAAAUAAUUUUUGGAUUUUAUAUUGAAAUUUAUAAAUGAAAAUGGAUUUGAUAGUAAUUUAAAUUAUUUAAUUUAAAUGAUUUUAGCUCUAAAAUAUG
This 349-nucleotide ribosomal RNA is filed under the name Paromia dorcoides. RNAcentral's name for it is "partial 12S ribosomal RNA". Lineage: Eukaryota; Metazoa; Arthropoda; Insecta; Coleoptera; Nitidulidae. The record is from RNAcentral.